AGUUAUAUAUUCCGAUAGGAAAUAUGUUUUGAAAACAUACCAAAGAGGCUGGUAUCCUCUAUUAACUU
This 68-nucleotide transfer RNA is filed under the name Galiblatta cribrosa. RNAcentral describes it as "tRNA-Ser". The record is from RNAcentral. Lineage: Eukaryota; Metazoa; Arthropoda; Insecta; Blattodea; Blaberidae.